GGAGCCAAGAUCUCUAGCAUGGAGAAAGGGGUCUUCUACAAGACCCCUGAAAAUCUACAUAUUUAUCAAAAUAACAUUUUUUACUCUAUUUCCCUAAUAGCUUCAGGUGGUAAUCACCGAGAAGAGGAAGAAGAAACAGAACAUGAAGAGAUGUAGGCUAUGGUGGUGCCAAGGUAGGGGUGAUGGCCCUUGCCCGCGUUUAGAUGAUGCGCGGUGGCACCAAGGGAAGCGCUGCAGGACGAGGUGUGUGGAGAAGAGAAAAGAAAAAGAAAAAGAGGGGGGGACUCAUGGUGGCUGGGGAUGGAGGAAGGGAAAGGGGUCGUGGUGGUUAAGGAUGGAGAAAGAGGAAGGGUGUAGUGGUUGGGGGCAGAGAAGGGGAGGGAGUGUGGUGGUUGGGGGCAGAGGAAACACUGAAGGGAGAGGAAAAAGAAA
RNAcentral lists this long non-coding RNA (432 nucleotides) under Glycine max (soybean). Its description in RNAcentral is "long non-coding RNA (GMAX_LNC003970)". Lineage: Eukaryota; Viridiplantae; Streptophyta; Magnoliopsida; Fabales; Fabaceae. The record is from RNAcentral.